This 465-nucleotide ribosomal RNA is filed under the name uncultured bacterium. Its description in RNAcentral is "partial 16S ribosomal RNA". It matches the Rfam family "Bacterial small subunit ribosomal RNA", at positions 338 to 795 of the family's 1533-position model. The record is from RNAcentral.
CCUACGGGGGGCAGCAGUGGGGAAUAUUGCGCAAUGGGCGAAAGCCUGACGCAGCGACGCCGCGUGAGGGAUGAAGGUCUUCGGAUCGUAAACCUCUGUCAGCAGGGAAGAACGGUCACUGUGCUAAUCAGCAGUGAAUUGACGGUACCUGCAAAGGAAGCCCCGGCUAACUACGUGCAGGCAGCCGCGGUAAUACGUAGGGGGCAAUCGGUAUCCGUAUUUACUGGGUGUAAAGGGCGUGUAGGCGGGAAAGCAAGUCAGAUGUGAAAACCAUGGGCUCAACCUGUGGCCUGCAUUUGAAACUGUUGUUCUUGAGUACUGGAGAGGCAGACGGAAUUCCUAGUGUAGCGGUGAAAUGCGUAGAUAUUAGGAGGAACACCAGUGGCGAAGGCAGUCUGCUGGACAGCAACUGACGCUGAGGCGCGAAAGCGUGGGGAGCAAACAGGAUUAGAUACCCCAGUAGUC